This 798-nucleotide ribosomal RNA is filed under the name Arthrinium sp. 795_3_Z02. RNAcentral's name for it is "eukaryotic LSU rRNA". It matches the Rfam family "Eukaryotic large subunit ribosomal RNA", at positions 99 to 925 of the family's 3401-position model. The record is from RNAcentral. Lineage: Eukaryota; Fungi; Ascomycota; Sordariomycetes; Amphisphaeriales; Apiosporaceae.
CGGGAACAGCUCAAAUUUGAAAUCUGGCCCUUGGGUCCGAGUUGUAAUUUGCAGAGGAUGCUUUUGGUGCGGUGCCUUCCGAGUUCCCUGGAACGGGACGCCUUAGAGGGUGAGAGCCCCGUACGGUUGGCCACCAAGCCUGUGUAAAGCUCCUUCGACGAGUCGAGUAGUUUGGGAAUGCUGCUCAAAAUGGGAGGUAUAUUUCUUCUAAAGCUAAAUACUGGCCAGAGACCGAUAGCGCACAAGUAGAGUGAUCGAAAGAUGAAAAGCACUUUGAAAAGAGGGUUAAAUAGCACGUGAAAUUGUUGAAAGGGAAGGAUUUAUGACCAGACUUUUUCUGGGGGGAUCAUCCGGUGUUCUCACCGGUGCACUUCCCCCAGUUGAGGCCAGCAUCGGUUUCUGCCGGGGGAUAAAAGCUUUGGGAAUGUGGCUCCUUCGGGAGUGUUAUAGCCCGUUGCAUAAUACCCUGGCGGGGACCGAGGUUCGCGCAUUGCAAGGAUGCUGGCGUAAUGGUUAUUAAUCACCCGUCUUGAAACACGGACCAAGGAGUCGAACAUUUGUGCGAGUGUUUGGGUGUUAAACCCUCACGCGUAAUGAAAGUGAACGGAGGUGAGAGCCUUUAGGGGUGCAUCAUCGACCGAUCCUGAUGUCUUCGGAUGGAUUUGAGUAAGAGCAUAACUGUUCGGACCCGAAAGAUGGUGAACUAUGCGUGGAUAGGGUGAAGCCAGAGGAAACUCUGGUGGAGGCUCGCAGCGGUUCUGACGUGCAAAUCGAUCGUCAAAUCUGCGCAUGGGGGCG